This 491-nucleotide ribosomal RNA is filed under the name uncultured bacterium. RNAcentral's name for it is "partial 16S ribosomal RNA". It matches the Rfam family "Bacterial small subunit ribosomal RNA", at positions 29 to 507 of the family's 1533-position model. The record is from RNAcentral.
GUGAACGCUGGCGGUAGGCCUAACCCAUGCAAGUCGAACGGCAGCACAGUAAGAGCUUGCUCUUACGGGUGGCGAGUGGCGGACGGGUGAGGAAUACAUCGGAAUCUACUUUUUCGUGGGGGAUAACGUAGGGAAACUUACGCUAAUACCGCAUACGACCUACGGGUGAAAGCAGGGGAUCUUCGUACCUUGCGCGAUUGAAUGAGCCGAUGUCGGAUUAGCUAGUUGGCGGGGUAAAGGCCCACCAAGGCGACGAUCCGUAGCUGGUCUGAGAGGAUGAUCAGCCACACUGGAACUGAGACACGGUCCAGACUCCUACGGGAGGCAGCAGUGGGGAAUAUUGGACAAUGGGCGCAAGCCUGAUCCAGCCAUACCGCGUGGGUGAAGAAGGCCUUCGGGUUGUAAAGCCCUUUUGUUGGGAAAGAAAAGCAGCAGGUUAAUACCCCGCUGUUCUGACGGUACCCAAAGAAUAAGCACCGGCUAACUUCGUG